GAUGAACGCUGGCGGCGUGCCUAAUACAUGCAAGUCGAGCGAACAGACGAGGAGCUUGCUCCUCUGACGUUAGCGGCGGACGGGUGAGUAACACGUGCAUAACCUACCUAUAAGACUGGGAUAACUUCGGGAAACCGGAGCUAACACCGGAUAAUAUAUUGAACCGCAUGGUUCAAUAGUGAAAGACGGUUUUGCUGUCACUUAUAGAUGGAUCCGCGCCGCAUUAGCUAGUUGGUAAGGUAACGGCUUACCAAGGCAACGAUGCGUAGCCGACCUGAGAGGGUGAUCGGCCACACUGGAACUGAGACACGGUCCAGACUCCUACGGGAGGCAGCAGUAGGGAAUCUUGCGCAAUGGGCGAAAGCCUGACGGAGCAACGCCGCGUGAGUGAUGAAGGUCUUCGGAUCGUAAAACUCUGUUAUUAGGGAAGAACAAAUGUGUAAGUAACUAUGCACGUCUUGACGGUACCUAAUCAGAAAGCCACGGCUAACUACGUG
This 497-nucleotide ribosomal RNA is filed under the name uncultured bacterium. Its description in RNAcentral is "partial 16S ribosomal RNA". It matches the Rfam family "Bacterial small subunit ribosomal RNA", at positions 28 to 507 of the family's 1533-position model. The record is from RNAcentral.